CGGGACGUGGCUCAGUCAGGUAGAGCAUCCCGACAGGUGUGUCGGGAGGGACGCUGGUUUCCCGAUCGAAUCGGGAUCGUCCCGA
RNAcentral lists this transfer RNA (85 nucleotides) under Gracilimonas sp. RNAcentral's name for it is "tRNA-OTHER". The record is from RNAcentral. Lineage: Bacteria; Pseudomonadati; Balneolota; Balneolia; Balneolales; Balneolaceae.